RNAcentral lists this ribosomal RNA (468 nucleotides) under uncultured bacterium. RNAcentral describes it as "partial 16S ribosomal RNA". It matches the Rfam family "Bacterial small subunit ribosomal RNA", at positions 28 to 507 of the family's 1533-position model. The record is from RNAcentral.
GACGAACGCUGGCGGCGUGCUUAACACAUGCAAGUCGAACGGAAAGGCCCUGCUUUUGUGGGGUGCUCGAGUGGCGAACGGGUGAGUAACACGUGAGUAACCUGCCCUUGACUUUGGGAUAACUUCAGGAAACUGGGGCUAAUACCGGAUAGGAGCUCCUGCUGCAUGGUGGGGGUUGGAAAGUUUCGGCGGUUGGGGAUGGACUCGCGGCUUAUCAGCUUGUUGGUGGGGUAGUGGCUUACCAAGGCUUUGACGGGUAGCCGGCCUGAGAGGGUGACCGGCCAAAUUGGGACUGAGAUAGGGCCCAGACUCCUACGGGAGGCAGCAGUGGGGAAUAUUGCACAAUGGGCGGAAGCCUGAUGCAGCAACGCCGCGUGCGGGAUGACGGCCUUCGGGGUGUAAACCGCUUUCGCCUGUGACGAAGCGUGAGUGACGGUAAUGGGUAAAGAAGCACCGGAUAACUACGUG